AAUUUUGGACAAUGGGGGCAACCCUGAUCCAGCCAUCCCGCGUGUGCGAUGAAGGCCUUCGGGUUGUAAAGCACUUUUGGCAGGGAAGAAAAGGCUCUGGCUAAUACCUGGAGCUGCUGACGGUACCUGCAGAAUAAGCACCGGCUAACUACGUGCCAGCAGCCGCGGUAAUACGUAGGGUGCAAGCGUUAAUCGGAAUUACUGGGCGUAAAGCGUGCGCAGGCGGUUCGGCAAGAAGGAUGUGAAAUCCCAGGGCUUAACCUUGGAACUGCAUUCUUAACUGCCGGGCUAGAGUAUGUCAGAGGGGGGUAGAAUUCCGCGUGUAGCAGUGAAAUGCGUAGAGAUGCGGAGGAAUACCGAUGGCGAAGGCAGCUUACUAAACCAUAACUGACGCUCAUGCACGAAAGCGUGGGGAGCAAAC
Molecule: ribosomal RNA, 421 nt
Filed under: uncultured bacterium
Lineage: Bacteria
Description: partial 16S ribosomal RNA
Rfam family: Bacterial small subunit ribosomal RNA
Source: RNAcentral